Molecule: long non-coding RNA, 610 nt
Organism: Pantherophis guttatus
Lineage: Eukaryota; Metazoa; Chordata; Lepidosauria; Squamata; Colubridae
Source: RefSeq, a predicted model, not a curated record
UCUACCGGUUCUAUAGAACUGGUGCGAACCGGGGGCAACCCACCACUGAUUAGAUGUAAUGUAAUGUAAACAAGUAUACAGGAUAAGCUGUUUCUCUUUAUCAAGGUAUAACAACAAAGUCAUACCAUUGGUCCUCUACACCAUGAUGUUAUAAUUAAUAAGCUGUAAAGUAGAUAAAACAGGUCUCUUUCGUGGACACUUUUAUCAAGUAGGAUCCAUUCUAUGACUGCCAUAAAAGGAAUUAGUGGCCUGAAAAUGCUACAUCAAAAAAGAUGUGGUACAGUCAUUGACAACAAGAGCUUAUCCAGGCAGUUUUAAGAGUGAUCUGAAGAAAAACAAAGUUAGCUAUUAUUGUCAGUCCAGUGCAAAUAUCUGAAGAAGUGAUGGGAGAAAUAGCAGUCUUUAUCUUCCUGGAUGCAAAAAAUGCUGCAAUGGAGACUGUAAUCAUGAAACAGAAUGACCUCUGCUUUUUGGAGAGAGAGAGACUAUUAGAAAUGUACUCAAAAACCAUACUGACAGCAAUGAUUUGUAAAGAUUUGUAAAAUUUGUUAUAAACCUGAAAUCUGAAAAAAUACAAAUUGAUGCCUUUGUACAGAGGUGCUGGAGAAAA